UACGGAAGGCAGCAGUGGGGAAUAUUGCACAAUGGGCGCAAGCCUGAUGCAGCCAUGCCGCGUGUAUGAAAAAGGCCUUCGGGUUGUAAAGUACUUUUCAGUCGUGAGGAAGGUGUUAAGGUUAAUAACCUUAGCAAUUGACGUUAGCGACAGAAGAAGCACCGGCUAACUCCGUGCCAGCAGCCGCGGUAAUACGGAGGGUGCGAGCGUUAAUCGGAAUUACUGGGCGUAAAGGGCACGCAGGCGGUUAAUUAAGUUGGAUGUGAAAUCCCCGGGCUUAACCUGGGAAUGGCAUUCAAGACUGGUUAGCUAGAGUCUUGUAGAGGGGGUAGAAUUCCAUGUGUAGCGGUGAAAUGCGUAGAGAUGUGGAGGAAUACCGGUGGCGAAGGCGGCCCCUGGGACAAAGGGACCUGGACGCGUCAUGUGCGAAAGCGUGGGGAGCAAACGAGGGAUUAGAUACC
This 461-nucleotide ribosomal RNA is filed under the name uncultured bacterium. RNAcentral's name for it is "bacterial SSU rRNA". It matches the Rfam family "Bacterial small subunit ribosomal RNA", at positions 340 to 786 of the family's 1533-position model. The record is from RNAcentral.